UACUUUAAAGUUUGAAAUAAUACCUUGUAAACUACAUACUAGUAAGUGUCAUACUUUCAAUAGAGUAUAUAAAUGCAUUUUAUUUCCAUUCUGGCUAUUUUCUGUGGAUUAUACAUUUCCAUGGAUUAUCUGCAUGAAAUUACAGUAAAUUAAAAAAUAAAUUAAGAAGAUAAAUGAAAAUUUUAAAAAUAAAUAUCCCUAAUCUAUUUUCUGUUGUUCUAAUGUGUAUAAAAUUUCAAUAUUUGAUUUAUCAUCACUUUUCAAAAUAACAGAAAAUGCAAGAUACAUGUGAAUUUAUUUUCAUAUUAGAUAUAGUAUUUUUUGAAAAGGCAAAGAGGAAACAUGUUAAAAUUCUGAUUGGAUACAAAAAUAAUGUCAUAGUUGAUGUCACGAGCAACCAAGCGGAAACAAACUUGCAACUACAUUAAUUAACCAUUCCAAUGUUAUGUUGCAAGAAAUUGUGAUGUCCAGUUGUGUUCUGUCUUAGGUCUUGUUUGUCACGGUCAACUGACUGUGAUAAAUAUAAAGAUGAUCUUUUACGUGUUUAUUCAUUUUUGUUUUUUAAUAUACAUUUAUUCGUUUAUCAUACAUUAUUUGAUAAUUUGAAACUUAUGAUAAGAUAGUGACGAGGAGAAAGUAUCCAGAAAAGAAUUAUUGAUAGGUAAGAGACGAGAGAGAAAAGAAUCGAAGAAGGACAAAGGUUACGUGGCCUUUGAAGGCGAAAGUUCAGAAGAUGAAAUGGAUGAAACUAAAAGUCCAGCUAAAACAAAAAAGACCAAAGCUCCAUUUAAAUUUCCUGGUAAAGAUAAAAAAGAAAGAUCUGGAAAAACUAAAGAUAAGGAAUUGAAAGAAACAAAAAAGGAAGAGGAUAAGUCUAGUAAAGAAAGUAAGAAAGAACAUAAAAAGAAAAAAAUUAAGCUAUCAAGAUUUGAUAAAAAGGACAAAAAGAAAAAAUUUGAUACAAAAAAGUCAGGUAAUUUACUGUCAUUAAAUAAUAAUUAUAGUAUUGAGAGAUUGUAUGAUCAACAUAUUAAAUGCAUUAGUGCAUAAAAAAAUACUUUUAUUUUUGUAAGGUCAUCUCAUACUUGAUAAUCAUUCCUCAACUUAGAAUUCUAAUUAUAAGUUAAUCCAGCAGUUGGCUAUUGCCCAUACAAUAGCAAGAAUUUGAAUAUUAACUUGUAAUUAGAAUGUAAAUUGCUUUCAAACAGCAUAAUAACAAUAAUAAUAAUAAACAACUCUCUUGGAAGUAAACUAUUAAAAGUGAAUUAUUACAGUCUUUUCAAGAUGAGAGAGCUCAGUAGUUUCAAUGGGCUAUAGGCGAUGCUGACGGGAGCACAAGCUUCCAGUAGGGCAUUUCUCCCCAUAGACCUUACAGGUAUGGUCUAUGGGAAGAAAUGAAGCAAAGAGUAAUCACAAGCAACACUUGGUUCAAAGUGUUCUUUGAACCAAGUGUCAAGUUGGGUCAAAACAAUGUCUGUUCUCCAUGUCAGGAGCAGCUUACGUAUAAAUGCCUAGAUUUAGGUUUAUAAGUGAAAACAAAAACGGUUGUUAUAUCAUGAUCCCAAUCGGACAAAGUUUAUGGUAUCUAAAUACAUACAUAUUACCAAAAUACAUUCUACCAGAGUCAACAUUGUCAGACAUAUGUGCAUUAAUUAAUUUUUUUCAAUCACUUUAGCUAUAUACCAUGAUCUACCUCAGCUUGUUUUGACCCCAUAUUACAUACAAAAUAUAUAUGAAAAUGAAAACUUUUUUGAUAAAGAGGUCUGUUUAUUUUAAG
This 1777-nucleotide long non-coding RNA is filed under the name Centruroides sculpturatus (bark scorpion). Its description in RNAcentral is "uncharacterized LOC111622658". The record is from RNAcentral. Lineage: Eukaryota; Metazoa; Arthropoda; Arachnida; Scorpiones; Buthidae.